Molecule: unclassified non-coding RNA, 288 nt
Filed under: Hevea brasiliensis (rubber tree)
Lineage: Eukaryota; Viridiplantae; Streptophyta; Magnoliopsida; Malpighiales; Euphorbiaceae
Source: RNAcentral
GGGAGCUGCAUUUUGUUGUUAGAGAUGCAGUAUUCGGAUGUUAGUGAAGGAAGUUUAGUUGAUGGAGGGUUUUUUUGUUUUUAGUUUGAGUAGAACCCUAGAGAAGAAUGCUUUGAUACUACUGAGGAUGGUGUUUGGGAAUUGCCCAUUUGAGAGAGAAGAUGCCAACUUUGAUGCUUAUCUUUCUUCUUUCUUUACUCACUCUGCUUACUACUACUACUCUAGGGAUAACAUUGCCACACAUUUACCUGUCUCCUACUCUACCGCCAAACAAGCCUUACUUUGCAA